UCACACCCCUCUAGAUUUAAAGGACUAUUGCAAAGACCAUUUCACUACUGUUAGUGUUUGCAGUUCAGUCAUUGCUUCGAGGAAAAACCUGUUGAUACGUCAGGUUAUGCUAAAUAAGCAAGAGUUCUGUAUUGGCCUGAAGCUGUUUGCAAUCCACCAUUUGCAUGCCACUUUCAAGCAGGGACAUUAUUGCUACCUUUUAAAUCCAAAAAAGGGAACUGAUAUAUUUGCAAACACACAGAUACUCAGGAUGUGGCUGCUGUUUCCUAUCACAAACACGUGAUCUGAGUUGGUUGUUGUUUUUCCACACUGCAAAAGAAAGAAAUCCAGCAAGCUUAGGUGAAAUUGUUGGGUCACUGAAAGGUACAAUGAUCUUCCUGACAAGCUGGAUUCCUGUCCUAACUACGUUUCUGCUUCUCUUAUAUUUCUGGAGAGCAAAGGUCUCUGCCUCUGGAACAUCUGAGGAGGAGGCAAUAGACCCCAAGUAUGUUAUCAUAGGAGUUACCCUGGGAGUCUUCCUAGCAAUUGGUUUUUUAGCACUAAAGAUCUGCAUGAUCAAAAGGCAAUUGACUGACAAUGACUUUGUAGAUUCAGACAACAGAGUGGAUAAAAGGUCACACGUGGAAUCCGCUGCGAUAAGGUAUGUUCUACAGAAGGGGCCAGGUGGGAAGAGAUCAAGGUCUUCCUCCAAUCUGAUGCAGCAGGAAUGGGGUGGGGGGUAACACAGAGUCUUUGGUGGCAGCCUGGAGUCAGAUAUAAAGAAGCUGGGGAGUAUUUCUAAAACUGCAUCCAGGUAUGUAACAAAGAAGAAUAAACGUGGCCACAUACAAAACA
RNAcentral lists this long non-coding RNA (834 nucleotides) under Chrysemys picta bellii (western painted turtle). Its description in RNAcentral is "lncRNA (ENSCPBG00000012799.1)". Lineage: Eukaryota; Metazoa; Chordata; Testudines; Emydidae. The record is from RNAcentral.